AUGAAAAUCCAGGAGAACCUAAUUGAACUAGAGUCGCUGACCGAAACUACCAUGCUGACUCACUACCCGCCGCCGCAGUCCGAUUUCGGCUAUCCUCAACAGGGGCUCCCAUCCAUAGACAACGUUGAGGCACAAUCGUGGUUCUCAAACUUCUUGCAGCCUUCGCCCGAAGGAGAUGACUCGAUGCUUAUGCUCCGGUCCGAUGAUCAACAGUCGAUACAUAUUCCAGACUGGCUUUCCGGUCCGGUCUCCGAUAGUGAUCAGAACGUUUCCGAGUCUUCGUUAUUGACUUUGCCAUGCCCAGAGCAGGAGGGAGUUCUAUCCGAGUCGAGAACUUCUCUCCCACCCAUCACAGAAAUCCAGGCGGAAGACCUGCGACUGAUCUCAGCCGUGCUGACGAACGUGAAGGAGGAGCUGAGCGCGGACCUGAGCCUGCUGAGCGACGAGAAGCUGAAGCUACCAGCGUCGAGCGAGGCGGGGCCGGGGGUGGGGGUGGGGAAGAACGGCGGGAAGCUGCCCGGGUUCCACCAGGCGUUCGGCUCGACGGAGAUCGGGCGCUUCUCGCAGCACGAGGAGUACUUCGAGGCUCCGCAGGAGGAGGACUGCCUCGGGCUCCACAACGACCUCAUGUCCAAAGUGAGUCCGGUCCUGUGAGCGCCCCUGCGAGGGGGCGGGGGCGCGGCGCCCGCAACGGCACGCGCCGCACCAAGGCCCAGGAACGCAAGCAGACCAAAGCCGCCGCUAAUAAUCAGCUCAGCCCGCCCCAAGAUCCAGCAGCGCUCCCAGGUAACGAACCGUGCAAGCCGCCAGCCGGCUCAGGCCCGAUUAAGAUGGAGAAGAAGGACUGGGAGAUGAGCGGUCGGGACUGCGACUCGAAGCUAAGCCUCGGGCAAAACCAAAGUCAAAACCAAAGUCCAAGUCAAAGCCAAAGUCAAGCUCGGAGCUUGCACGAAUCCAGCUUCACCGGCACCAACGGCUUCGUGCCGCCCUCGCCGAGUCCGUACUACAACCAAACGCGGCAGGACCGCUUCGCCCACCCCAUGCAUCACAACUCCUACUACAACCCCCACUACUGCCCCCCGCGCUCGAGCCAGAUCCAGGAGCGCUUCGUGCCUGGGAACCCGUACCACUUCCAGGGCGGCGACUCGGGGCUCCAGCCCUACCAGGCCUCGCAGUGCUGGAACCAGUUCAACGUCUACUCCACGCCGUCCAACGCCCACCAGUCCUACUCCGGCAUGAUGUCCUACUCGUCGCCGGCCUGCGACGUUGCGUCGGCCGAGUACAAAAGCUACUACUACAACAAUUACUCCAACUGCACCGAGUUCGAUUAUCAGAACUACGGGAGUUACCACUUCCAGCAGCGGUCACAUCCCUACCGCAGGAUGAGUUACCAGAGUCAGCCGGCGCUCCCGUCCUUCAACAACGAUAGGCUCCAUUACAAUAUUUGA
Molecule: long non-coding RNA, 1448 nt
Filed under: Bemisia tabaci
Lineage: Eukaryota; Metazoa; Arthropoda; Insecta; Hemiptera; Aleyrodidae
Description: lncRNA ENSSSA1NGG013123
Source: RNAcentral